Molecule: long non-coding RNA, 426 nt
Filed under: Junco hyemalis (dark-eyed junco)
Lineage: Eukaryota; Metazoa; Chordata; Aves; Passeriformes; Passerellidae
Description: lncRNA (ENSJHYG00000002942.1)
Source: RNAcentral
AUGAAUGCCAACCACUUCUCACUCUCUGCAUUUCCCUCCUGCCGAGUCUCCAGUGGCUGGUUGGAGAGCUUGACUUGGAGCCAGACUGGGGGGAGUAAUUUACUGCUGGCCUCUAAUGGCUAUAAAUUACUACAUGCCCUGGGGAAUUGCAGCUAUAAAGCAGAUGCCGCCAGUAUCUCUGUGGGUGAGAUAAAGACGCAAAAUGAUUUGGUGUUGCAUGCUGGCUUUCUUCUGAGUUAGUCCUGGAAGCUUUGUGAUGCAGCCACAGGCUACUAGUCUGGAAUGCAUCAGAGUUUCAAGCUCAGUCACAAUGUUGGAAAUGCAGAACAGGGAGAGGUGAAGGGAAGAGUGGAGGCAAGUACAAAAACCCCAUGAGGUAGACGAGAGCAGGCAGAACCAGAAGUGCCAGCAAGGAGAACAUUGCCC